RNAcentral lists this ribosomal RNA (492 nucleotides) under uncultured bacterium. RNAcentral's name for it is "partial 16S ribosomal RNA". It matches the Rfam family "Bacterial small subunit ribosomal RNA", at positions 29 to 507 of the family's 1533-position model. The record is from RNAcentral.
AGUGAACGCUGGCGGUAGGCCUAACACAUGCAAGUCGAACGGCAGCACAGUAAGAGCUUGCUCUUACGGGUGGCGAGUGGCGGACGGGUGAGGAAUACAUCGGAAUCUACUUUUUCGUGGGGGAUAACGUAGGGAAACUUACGCUAAUACCGCAUACGACCUACGGGUGAAAGCAGGGGAUCUUCGGACCUUGCGCGAUUGAAUGAGCCGAUGUCGGAUUAGCUAGUUGGCGGGGUAAAGGCCCACCAAGGCGACGAUCCGUAGCUGGUCUGAGAGGAUGAUCAGCCACACUGGAACUGAGACACGGUCCAGACUCCUACGGGAGGCAGCAGUGGGGAAUAUGAGACAAUGGGCGCAAGCCUGAUCCAGCCAUACCGCGUGGGUGAAGAAGGCCUUCGGGUUGUAAAGCCCUUUUGUUGGGAAAGAAAAGCAGCAGGUUAAUACCCCGCUGUUCUGACGGUACCCAAAGAAUAAGCACCGGCUAACUUCGUG